Molecule: non-coding RNA, 77 nt
Filed under: Noctiluca scintillans
Lineage: Eukaryota; Dinophyceae; Noctilucales; Noctilucaceae
Source: RNAcentral
GCUCAGGUGCCUCGUUCACCUCUCGAGCCACUUCCUUCGAGUCGGGUGAGAAAUCAGCGUUGCCGAACGAUGCGAUG